Molecule: long non-coding RNA, 580 nt
Filed under: Rhinopithecus bieti (black snub-nosed monkey)
Lineage: Eukaryota; Metazoa; Chordata; Mammalia; Primates; Cercopithecidae
Description: lncRNA (ENSRBIG00000045953.1)
Source: RNAcentral
UCAUCUCCAUCUCAGCACUGAAGAAACCAAGGUUCAAGGAGGCAAAAUAUUCAGAUGAACCACAUGAAACUGUCAAUAUUCAUCAUCAUCCAACAGAAAUGGCAAGUUAGUAAUUUCCCACAAGCCUCAGAGCAGGUCCAGACAGUUUCUCUCCUUUCCUGGACUGUCUCUCCUGGACUGUCAGAGCCUCUUAAGCACUAAUGCUUCACAUUUUUGAAGUUUACUUUAAGCAUGGACACUGCCUUGGCUUUAAAAAUAUGUCCAAGUGAUUUGAUAUUCCAGCUUUCAAGAGGUGAAGUUUAACUCCCCUCCUUCUGACUGUAAGCUAAACUGAGUGAUUCGCAGGCCCACAUGGUGAGAAACUGAAGGUUCUUGCAAAGUCACGUGAAUGCGCUUGGAAAAGGAGCCUCCAGCCUAGUCAAGCCUCAGAGACUGCAGCCCCAGUCAACAGCUUGACUUGAGAGAUUCCAAGUCAGAACCACCCAGCUAAGUUGCUCUUGGAUUCUUGACCCACAAAAACUGUGAUUAUUAAAUGUGUGUUGUCAUAUAUUACAAGUGCACUCCUUCACCAAUUUUCCCU